UCCGGUUGAUCCUGCCGGAGACUACCGCUAUCGGAGUCCGAUUUAGCCAUGCUAGUCCACCGAACCUUUGGUUCGGGGCGGAAAGCUGAGUAACACGUGGCCAACCUACCCUGUGGACAGGAAUAACCUCGGGAAACUGAGGAUAAUGCCUGAUAGCAGAACCAUGCUGGAAACGCAGGUUCUGUGAAAUGACACGUCGCCACAGGAUGGGGCCGCGGCUGAUUAGGUUGUCGGUGAGGUAACGGCUCACCGAGCCCGUAAUCAGUAGCAGCCGUGGGAGCGGUAGCUGCCAGUCGUGUUCUGAGACAAGAACACGGGCCCUACGGGGCGCAGCAGGCACGAAACCUUUACAAUGCACGCGAGUGCGAUAGGGGGACUCCGAGUGCGUUCUUCCCACAAGGAAGGACGCUUUUCUGCACUGUAAGGAGGUGCAGGAACAAGGGGUGGGCAAGACUGCUGCCAGCCGCCGCGGUAAUAGCAGCACCCCGAGUGGUAGUCGUUAUUAUUGGGCUUAAAGUGUACGUAGCCGGACCUGUAAGUCUGUUGUGAAAUCCACGCGCUUAACGCAGUGGAAGCGCAACGGAUACUACAGGUCUAGGGACCGGAGGACGCCGAGGCUAUUCCAUGGGUAGGAGUGAAAUCCUAAGAUCCAUGGAGGAGCACCAGUGGCGAAAGCGCUCGGCGACUACGGAUCCGACGGUGAGGUACGAAAGCCAGGGGAGCAAAACGGAUUAGAUACCCGUGUAGUCCUGGCCGUCAACAUUGUCCGCUCGACAUGGCCCAACCUUUGUGGUUUGGCUGUGUCCAAGUGAAAACGUUAAGCGGACCGCCUGGGUAGUACGGUCGCAAGGCUGAAACUUAAAGGAAUUGACGGGGGAGCACCACAACCGGUGGGGGCUGCGGUUUAAUUAGAUCAAACGCAGCGCACCCUACCAGAGCCGACAGCAGAAUGACGGUCAGCUUGAAGAGCUUACCCGACGCGCUGAGAGGAGCUGCAUGGCCGCCGUCAGCUCGUGCCGCGAGGUGUCCGGUUAAGUCCGGUAACGAGCGAGACCCGUACCCUAUGUUGCCACGGAGACACUAGCUGUCUUCGGCACUCGUGGGGGACCGCUGGCGAUAAGCCAGAGGAAGGAGCGGGCCACGGUAGGUCAGUAUGGCCCGAAUGCUCUGGGAUACACGCGGCCCACAAUGGCCGGUACAAACAGAAGCCACCCCGAGAGGGGAAGCUAAUCUGCCAAAACCGGUCCCAGUCCGGAUCGAGGCCUGCAACUCGGCCUCGUGAAGUCGAAAUCGGUAGUAGUCGCUGGUCAUCAUCUAGCGGCGAAUAAGUCCCUGCUCCUUGUACACACCGCCUGUCAAGUCACCCAAGUCAGGUUCAGACGAGCCUCCCACCUAGUGGGAAGCAAGUCUGAGCUUGGCAAGGGGGGCUAAGUCAUAGCAAACAGUUGUGACCCCGAACCGGAAGGUU
This 1468-nucleotide ribosomal RNA is filed under the name Candidatus Nanosalinarum sp. J07AB56. RNAcentral describes it as "bacterial SSU rRNA". It matches the Rfam family "Archaeal small subunit ribosomal RNA". Lineage: Archaea; Methanobacteriati; Methanobacteriota; Candidatus Nanohaloarchaea. The record is from RNAcentral.